Equus caballus (horse) is the source of this 482-nucleotide long non-coding RNA. RefSeq lists it as uncharacterized. NCBI's taxonomy places the organism in Eukaryota, Metazoa, Chordata, Mammalia, Perissodactyla, Equidae. The record is from RefSeq and is a predicted model, not a curated record.
CGUGCACCUCCUUGCCUUCACGCCUGGAGAAGGCUGACCGCCCGGGGCGCCCCUACACGUGCACUCGGAGGGAACCUCGGUUCCCCAGGCGGUGGGAAGGUUGCUUGUCGGGGGAGUAUUAGCAUUCACUGUCGAAGGGAAGCGGCCUCCCGGGAGAAGACGCAGGCAUGGACGCUACUUAACCAGUGCCAGCGAGUCAGCAAGGAGGGCGGCUCAGCGCCGGCCGGGUUUUCCAAAAGAUGUGCUGUUCGCCGCCUUGAUACAAUAGACGUAAAUAACCGCAAGAGCACAGGAAUAAUAAAAUGUAGCCAAGUAAUUAGGGAGUGGCCCCCAGGAACUAAAACUAAGAGGGUAGAGGAAAAGUUUUUCCUCUUCAACAACAGGAAUUACAGACAACUCUUUCAAGAGGUUUUGCGGUGAAGGAGAGCAGAGAGCCCCCUGGUACCUAGUUGUAUAUUCUAGUUGUGAGUGCCUCUGGUUGU